Molecule: ribosomal RNA, 321 nt
Filed under: uncultured Prevotella sp.
Lineage: Bacteria; Pseudomonadati; Bacteroidota; Bacteroidia; Bacteroidales; Prevotellaceae
Description: bacterial SSU rRNA
Rfam family: Bacterial small subunit ribosomal RNA
Source: RNAcentral
GAUGAACGCUAGCUACAGGCUUAACACAUGCAAGUCGAGGGGUAGCAGGAGAGAAGCUUGUCUUUUCUUGCUGACGACCGGCGCACGGGUGAGUAACGCGUAUCCAACCUUCCCCGCAGUAGGGAACAGCCCGGCGAAAGUCGGAUUAAUGCCCUAUGUUCUCCUUUGCAGGCAUCUAACGAGGAGCAAAGAUUCAUCGCUGCGGGAUGGGGAUGCGUCUGAUUAGCUUGUCGGCGGGGUAACGGCCCACCGAGGCGACGAUCAGUAGCCGGACUGAGAGGUUGGCCGGCCACAUUGGGACUGAGACACGGCCCAGACUCC